Long non-coding RNA from Suricata suricatta (meerkat), 573 nucleotides. RefSeq lists it as uncharacterized. The record is from RefSeq and is a predicted model, not a curated record. The transcript has 3 exons. NCBI's taxonomy places the organism in Eukaryota, Metazoa, Chordata, Mammalia, Carnivora, Herpestidae.
AUAAGGUCUCUCUGAGAGAAAGAUACAGAAAGUUGAGUCCUGAGAAAAGGAGGAAGAGGAGCAGAAUUUCUCAGAGAACCCUGGUACAGAAGCAGCUGAGUGAAGAUUGGGAGAGAAAAGGUUCUUCUUCCCACCCUGCUUGUGACAUGCAUUAAUGAGGAAUGUGGAGGUGAUCCAGACCAGCUUCUGCAACAUACCCACAGAAUAGAGAAGCCAUCUUUUGCUGCUUCCAAAUUUCCCUUCUGUCCUUCCUGCCUGCCUUUCUAACUUAGAAACCAUUUAGGAUUAGAGUUGUUGAAAAUAAAAAACUAAUAGAUUUCAGAUUAUUAACAAUAGGACUUUUAAAUGGAAUUCUCAUGAUGAAUACUGAACAUCUUUAGCUGCUAGUGAAUGCACUAAUUAGAACCUUACAAAUUCCAAAAUAUAUUGGCAAGUAUACUAUAGUUCAAUUUUUAAAAAUCUAUUUCGGUUCUUAGGUCAUCAUUUCAUGGUGGUGAGAUCAAGCCCUUAAUCGGACUCUGUGCUGGGCAUGGAGACUGCUUAAGAUUCUCUUUGUAUUUACAUGCUUUGUAA